CGGCAACAGCUCAAAUUUGAAAUCUGGCCCUUGUGGUCCGAGUUGUAAUUUGUAGAGGAUGCUUUUGGUGCGGUACCUUCCGAGUUCCCUGGAACGGGACGCCAUAGAGGGUGAGAGCCCCGUCUGGUUGGAUACCAAUCCUCUGUAAAGCUCCUUCGACGAGUCGAGUAGUUUGGGAAUGCUGCUCUAAAUGGGAGGUAUAUGUCUUCUAAAGCUAAAUAUUGGCCAGAGACCGAUAGCGCACAAGUAGAGUGAUCGAAAGAUGAAAAGCACUUUGAAAAGAGGGUUAAAUAGUACGUGAAAUUGUUGAAAGGGAAGCGCUUGUGACCAGACUUGGGCUUGGUUAAUCAUCCAGGGUUCUCCCUGGUGCACUUGGCCAGCCCAGGCCAGCAUCAGUUUGUCGCGGGGGAUAAAGACGUCGGGAAUGUGGCUCCCUCGGGAGUGUUAUAGCCCUUCGUGUAAUACCCUGCUUCGGACUGAGGUUCGCGCAUCUGCAAGGAUGCUGGCGUAAUGGUCAUCAGCGACCCGUCUUGAAACACGGACCAAGGAGUCGUCUUCGUAUGCGAGUGUUCGGGUGUCAAACCCCUACGCGUAAUGAAAGUGAACGCAGGUGAGAGCUUCGGCGCAUCAUCGACCGAUCCUGAUGUUCUCGGAUGGAUUUGAGUAAGAGCAUACGGGGCCGGACCCGAAAGAAGGUGAACUAUGCCUGUAUAGGGUGAAGCCAGAGGAAACUCUGGUGGAGGCUCGCAGCGGUUCUGACGUGCAAAUCGAUCGUCAAAUAUGGGCAUGGGGGCGAA
RNAcentral lists this ribosomal RNA (797 nucleotides) under Nectria ulmicola. RNAcentral's name for it is "eukaryotic LSU rRNA". It matches the Rfam family "Eukaryotic large subunit ribosomal RNA", at positions 99 to 927 of the family's 3401-position model. The record is from RNAcentral. Lineage: Eukaryota; Fungi; Ascomycota; Sordariomycetes; Hypocreales; Nectriaceae.